RNAcentral lists this long non-coding RNA (1333 nucleotides) under Cricetulus griseus (Chinese hamster). RNAcentral's name for it is "lncRNA (ENSCGRG00015035904.1)". The record is from RNAcentral. Lineage: Eukaryota; Metazoa; Chordata; Mammalia; Rodentia; Cricetidae.
UUGCCUCCUCCAGCGGAAGAAUGUGAGCCACCGACAAGGAGGGACGCCAAUAAGUAAAAUACAGCCCUACGAGCCUAGCAGUAUCUCUGAUGGGGAAAACAUGAAUAUCAUGAUGAAGAUGCAAAUCUGUCAAGACAGGAAUAUUUGUCAAGGAGAAUUGCCCUGAUUUGUGACUGAAACUGAAACAAUUUCAAAGGAUCGACUUGGUUUUGGCUCACAGUUUCAGAGGCAUCAGUCUAUGGUCAGCUCAGCCAUUUCUAGUGCCAUGCUAAAGCAGAGCAUCAUCCCAUGGUAGAGCUGCUCACAUCAGGACAGCUAGGAAGGAGAGGGAGAAGAAAGGAAGGAGGGAGGAAGAGAAAGACAGAAGACAAGGUCGGAGUCCUCAGGAGCAAAUCACUUGUCAAUGAUUGGAUUUACCAGAUAAGGACCAAGCUGCUAACAUCGCCUUUGGAGAUAUACUUUAUAUACAAGCCAUAACUGUUUCUAUGCAACUGUCUCUAUUGUAACUAUGUGUUCUCAUAUUGGGCAAAGUGGGGACUAUAGAAGGACUGAUUGAGGUUGCUUAUUUCCUGGCCUGCUAAUUAUUCUUCUGCAAGAGGGCUUCCUUUUAUGCACCAACCAUCCUGUGGCAGGGGCUGAAGGCAAGUAGGCUUGACUUUGAGACGGGACUCCAGCCAACAAAAGACUUAGCCCCAGCAGGGCCACUGAGACAGACAUCUAUCCCUACAUGGAUGCCAGAGUCUGUCAUGAGUUCAUCGUGCAGGCCUGAGGCCCCUCUGUGAGUUCAGCUGGACAAAGUAGCUGCGGUGCCCCAUGGGAGUAAGCAUGACUGAGCAGAUCUUUAUUUCUCAAGAUCAGAUGUCAUUUGAAGAUAGAAGAAAGUGAUUCUGAAAACCUUUUUCCAAAUAAAACAAGCUUGUGAGAAUUUUGCUGCCAACAAAUCUAUUCCACUAUUCUUGAUUUCAGUGAUGAUUCAGAUCUGUGGCAGGCACAUGAUUGCCCUUGGGGGUGAGAGACAGCUGGUGCUGGGCAGUCACCAAGAGACACCACUGGCCCCAGGGCAGAACCCACAGACGACACCUCCUCCUGGAAUGCAACAAAGGUCACUGGCAGGACAAACCAGGAGCCUGGAAUUGUUUUCAAUUCAUUUUCAACCUGAUGAUCCAGAUGAAGAACUCCCAGGUCCAUCUCCAGCACCAUGUCUGCCUGUGUGCCACCAUGCUUCCCACCACGAAAAUAGACUACACCUCUGAAACUGUAAUCGAGCUCCAAUGAAACAUUUUUCCUUAUAAGAGUUGCUGUGGUCAUUUGUUUCUCUUCACAGCAAUAGAAC